GGUUAACUUAACAGGAGUGAAAAAGUUUACAGCCGGCAUCGGCGGAUCUGUGUGUGUGCGUGGGGGGGUAUGGGUGUGUGGGUGACAGCCGACCGGUCGUGCUCGUGUGUACCCGCGGGACCCAACAAGAGUUUGUUUUCAGUGGUCUUUCCACAGCCAUUGUUCCCUCCGGCACGGCACCGGACCAGGUGGCGUUCAGAAGCUUGGACACUGCAGGAAGAAAGCUGGACUUCCGUCUCAAUGGUCAUCUUGACUUGGGAGUGAGACCCCUAUAAAACUAAGCAAUCCAAGAUUGUUGCAGAAGACAGCUUUGAGCUUCCAGAAAGAAUACCCUUUCGACGAAAAAGAAGACCCAGCCA
Long non-coding RNA from Xiphias gladius (swordfish), 359 nucleotides. RefSeq lists it as uncharacterized. Lineage: Eukaryota; Metazoa; Chordata; Actinopteri; Istiophoriformes; Xiphiidae. The record is from RefSeq and is a predicted model, not a curated record. The transcript is spliced from 4 exons.